CCUACGUGAGGCUGCAGUGGGGGCUAUUGCACAAUGGGGGAAACCCUGAUGCAGCGACGCCGCGUGUGGGAAGACGGUCCUCUGGAUUGUAAACCACUGUCCCCAGGGACGAAGAUGACGGUACCUGGGGAGGAAGCUCCGGCUAACUACGUGCCAGCAGCCGCGGUAAUACGUAGGGAGCGAGCGUUGUCCGGAAUUACUGGGUGUAAAGGGAGCGUAGGCGGGACUGCAAGUUGGGUGUCAAAUCUACCGGCUCAACCGGUAGCCGCACUCAAAACUGCAGUUCUUGAGUGAAGUAGAGGCAGGCGGAAUUCCUAGUGUAGCGGUGAAAUGCGUAGAUAUUAGGAGGAACACCAGUGGCGAAGGCGGCCUGCUGGGCUUUUACUGACGCUGAGGCUCGAAAGUGUGGGGAGCAAACAGGAUUGGAUACCCGUGUAGUC
RNAcentral lists this ribosomal RNA (440 nucleotides) under uncultured bacterium. RNAcentral describes it as "partial 16S ribosomal RNA". It matches the Rfam family "Bacterial small subunit ribosomal RNA", at positions 338 to 795 of the family's 1533-position model. The record is from RNAcentral.